GGACUACUCGGGUAUCUAAUCCUGUUUGCUACCCACGCUUUCGUGUCUCAGCGUCAGAAGUGGUCCAGAAAGCUGUCUACACCGCAGGUGUUCCUCCUGAUAUCUACGCAUUUCACCGCUACACCAGGAAUUCCGCUUUCCUCUCCCACCCUCUAGCAUUCUAGUUUCCGGCGCACCCUCCCAGUUGAGCCGGGAGAUUUCACACCAGACUUAGAACACCGCCUACACACUCUUUACGCCCAGUAAUUCCGAACAACGCUUGCUGCCUACGUAUUACCGCGGCUGCUGGCAC
Molecule: ribosomal RNA, 292 nt
Filed under: uncultured Acidobacteriota bacterium
Lineage: Bacteria; Pseudomonadati; Acidobacteriota
Description: uncultured Acidobacteria bacterium partial 16S ribosomal RNA
Source: RNAcentral